RNAcentral lists this ribosomal RNA (371 nucleotides) under uncultured organism. RNAcentral's name for it is "partial 16S ribosomal RNA". It matches the Rfam family "Bacterial small subunit ribosomal RNA", at positions 527 to 896 of the family's 1533-position model. The record is from RNAcentral.
GUAGGGUCCAAGCGUUAAUCGGGAAUUACUGGGCGUAAAGCGUGCGCAGGCGGUUGUGCAAGACCGAUGUGAAAUCCCCGGGGCUUAACCUGGGAAUUGCAUUGGUGACUGCACGGCUAGAGUGUGUCAGAGGGGGGUAGAAUUCCACGUGUAGCAGUGAAAUGCGUAGAGAUGUGGAGGAAUACCGAUGGCGAAGGCAGCCCCCUGGGAUAACACUGACGCUCAUGCACGAAAGCGUGGGGAGCAAACAGGAUUAGAUACCCUGGUAGUCCACGCCCUAAACGAUGUCAACUAGUUGUUGGGGAUUCAUUUCCUUAGUAACGUAGCUAACGCGUGAAGUUGACCGCCUGGGGAGUACGGUCGCAAGAUUA